UACAGAGGUCCCAAGCGUUGUUCGGAAUUACUGGGCGUAAAGGGCUCGUAGGCGGCCAACUAAGUCAGACGUGAAAUCCCUCAGCUUAACUGGGGAACUGCGUCUGAUACUGGAUGGCUUGGAUCCGGGAGAGGGAUGCGGAAUUCCAGGUGUAGCGGUGAAAUGCGUAGAUAUCGGAAGGAACAUCAGUGGCGAAGGCGACUUCCUGGACCAAUACUGACGCUCAGGUGCGAAAGCGUGGGGAGCAAACAGG
Molecule: ribosomal RNA, 253 nt
Filed under: uncultured bacterium
Lineage: Bacteria
Description: partial 16S ribosomal RNA
Rfam family: Bacterial small subunit ribosomal RNA
Source: RNAcentral